Molecule: long non-coding RNA, 616 nt
Filed under: Homo sapiens (human)
Lineage: Eukaryota; Metazoa; Chordata; Mammalia; Primates; Hominidae
Description: non-protein coding lnc-GATM-3:1
Source: RNAcentral
AAAUACAAAUUAGCUGAGCAUGGUGGUGCAUGCCUGUAGUCCCAGCUACUGGGGAGGCUGAGGCAGGAGAAUCGCUCAAACCCAGGAGGCGGAGGUUGCAGUGAGCUGAGAUCACACCACUAUACUCCAGCCUGGGCAACAAAGUGAGACUCCAUCUCAAAAGCAAAAAGCAUUAAUUAUAGGAGCACUGUGAAGAAGAAGAGGUGAGAACGACCCCCUAGGCUGACCAAAGCCCGUGUGCCACCGUAUCCCCAUGCAUUGCUGCAUCCCUGCAGCCAGCACCUGUGUGCAGCCACCAUUGCCACCAUGCCCAAGAGAAAGGCUGAAGGGGAUGCUAAAGAAGAUAAGGCCAAGAUAAAGGACAAACUACAGGGAAGAUCCACAAAGUUGUCUGGAAAGCCUGCUCUGCCAAAGCCACAGCUGAAGCCUAAAAAGGCCCCUACAAAAAAGGGAGAGAAAGUAUCCAAAGGGGAAAAAGGAAGAGCCAACUCUGACAAAGAGGUGAAUAAACCUGCAGAAAAUGGAGAUGCCAGAACGGAGAAGGCACAGAAAGCUGAAGGUGCUGGAGAUGCCAAGUGAAGUGUAUGCAUUUUUGAUAAAUCUGUACUUCUGGUGA